RNAcentral lists this ribosomal RNA (460 nucleotides) under uncultured bacterium. RNAcentral describes it as "partial 16S ribosomal RNA". It matches the Rfam family "Bacterial small subunit ribosomal RNA", at positions 338 to 795 of the family's 1533-position model. The record is from RNAcentral.
CCUACGGGUGGCAGCAGUGAGGAAUAUUGGACAAUGGACGCAAGUCUGAACCAGCCAUGCCGCGUGCAGGAAGACGGCUCUAUGAGUUGUAAACUGCUUUUGUACGAGGGUAAACGCAGAUACGCGUAUCUGUCUGCAAGGAUCGUACGAAUAAGGAUCGGCUAACUCCGUGCCAGCAGCCGCGGUAAUACGGAGGAUUCAAGCGUUAUCCGGAUUUAUUGGGGUUAAAGGGUGCGUAGGCGGUCGGAUAAGUUAGAAGUGAAAUCCCGAGGCUUAACUUCGGAAUUGCCUCUGAUACUGUUCGGCUAGAGAGCAGUUGCGGUAGGCGGAAUGCAUGGUGUAGCGGUGAAAUGCUUAGAGAUCAUAAAGAACACCGGUGGCGAAGGCAGCUUACCAGGCUACUUCUGACGUUGAGGCACGAAAGCGUGGGGAGCAAACAGGAUUAGAUACCCGGGUAGUC